CGGGAACUCUGACACAGGUGCUGCAUGGCUGUCGUCAGCUCGUGUCGUGAGAUGGUUGGGUUAACGUCCCGUAACGAGCGCAACCUUGUCCUUAGUUACCAGCACGUUAUGGUGGGCACUCUAAGGAGACUGCCGGUGACAAACCGGAGGAAGGUGGGGAUGACGUCAAGUCAUCAUGGCCCUUACGGCCUGGGCUACACACGUGCUACAAUGGUCGGUACAAAGGGUUGCCAAGCCGCGAGGUGGAGCUAAUCCCAUAAAACCGAUCGUAGUCCGGAUCGCAGUCUGCAACUCGACUGCGUGAAGUCGGAAUCGCUAGUAAUCGUGAAUCAGAAUGUCACGGUGAAUACGUUCCCGGGCCUU
RNAcentral lists this ribosomal RNA (363 nucleotides) under uncultured Pseudomonas sp. RNAcentral's name for it is "bacterial SSU rRNA". It matches the Rfam family "Bacterial small subunit ribosomal RNA", at positions 1021 to 1382 of the family's 1533-position model. The record is from RNAcentral. Lineage: Bacteria; Pseudomonadati; Pseudomonadota; Gammaproteobacteria; Pseudomonadales; Pseudomonadaceae.